RNAcentral lists this ribosomal RNA (497 nucleotides) under uncultured bacterium. RNAcentral describes it as "partial 16S ribosomal RNA". It matches the Rfam family "Bacterial small subunit ribosomal RNA", at positions 28 to 507 of the family's 1533-position model. The record is from RNAcentral.
GACGAACGCUGGCGGCGUGCCUAAUACAUGCAAGUCGAACGCUGAAGCGAGGAGCUUGCUCUUCUUGGGUGAGUUGCGGACGGGUGAGUAACGCGUAGGUAACCUGCCUGUUAGCGGGGGAUAACUAUUGGAAACGAUAGCUAAUACCGCAUAAAAUUUAUUAUUGCAUGAUACUUAAUUGAAAGAUGCAACUGCAUCACUACCAGGUGGACCUGCGUUGUAUUAACUAGGUGGUGAGGUAACGGCUCACCAAGGCGACGAUACAUGACCGACCUGAGAGGGUGAUCGGCCAAACCGGGACUGAGAAACGGCCCAGAACCCUACGGGAGGCAGCAAUAGGGAAUCUUCGGGAAUGGGGGGAAAGCUGACCGAGCAACGCCGCGUGAGUGAAGAAGGUUUUCGGAUCGUAAAGCUCUGUUGUAAGGGAAGAACGGGUGUGAGAGUGGAAAGUUCACACUGUGACGGUAUCUUACCAGAAAGGGACGGCUAACCACGUG